UUUUCCCGGUUGAUCCUGCCGGACCCCACUGCUAUCGGGAUAGGACUAAGACAUGCUAGUCGAGUGGCUCAACCAAUACGAGCCACGGCAUACAGCUCAGUAACACGUGGCUAAUCUGCCCUUAGGACGAGAACAACCCCGGGAAACUGGGGCUAACUCUCGAUAGGCGAAGAACUCUGGAAUGAGUCUUCACCUAAACGGUUCGGCGUUAUGCUCGUUGAACCGCCUAAGGAUGAGGCCGCGACCGAUCAGGUUGUUGGUGAGGUAAUGGCUCACCAAGCCUUUUACCGGUGCGGGCCGUGAGAGCGGGAGCCCGGAGAUGGGCACUGAGACAAGGGCCCAGGCCCUACGGGGCGCAGCAGUCGCGAAAACUUUGCAAUACACGAAAGUGUGACAGGGCUAUCCCGAGUGCCAUCCGCUGAGGAAGGCUUUUACCCGGUCUAGAAAGCUGGGGGAAUAAGGAGAGGGCAAGUCUGGUGUCAGCCGCCGCGGUAAUACCAGCUCUCCGAGUGGUGUGGAUGUUUAUUGGGCCUAAAGCAUCCGUAGCUGGCUAAGUUAGUCCCUUGUUAAAUCCACCGAAUUAAUCGUUGGAUCGCGGGGGAUACUGCUUGGCUAGGGGACGAGAGAGGCAGACGGUAUUUUCGGGGUAGGGGUGAAAUCCUAUAAUCCCGGGAAGACCACCAGUGGCGAAGGCUGUCUGCUAGAACGCGCCCGACGGUGAGGGAUGAAAGCUGGGGGAGCGAACCGGAUUAGAUACCCGGGUAGUCCCAGCUGUAAACGAUGCAGGCUAGGUGUUUGGACGGCCACGUGCCGUUCUAGUGCCGCAGGGAAGCUGUUAAGCCUGCCGCCUGGGGAGUACGAUCGCAAGAUUGAAACUUAAAGGAAUUGGCGGGGGAGCACCACAAGGGGUGAAGCUUGCGGUUUAAUUGGAUUCAACGCCGGA
RNAcentral lists this ribosomal RNA (943 nucleotides) under uncultured archaeon. RNAcentral describes it as "bacterial SSU rRNA". It matches the Rfam family "Archaeal small subunit ribosomal RNA", at positions 1 to 922 of the family's 1478-position model. The record is from RNAcentral.